GGGCCCGCACAAGCGGUGGAUGAUGUGGAUUAAUUCGAUGCAACGCGAAAAACCUUACCUACCCUUGACAUGUCAGGAAUUUUGCAGAGAUGCGAAAGUGCUCGAAAGAGAACCUGAACACAGGUGCUGCAUGGCUGUCGUCAGCUCGUGUCGUGAGAUGUUGGGUUAAGUCCCGCAACGAGCGCAACCCUUGUCAUUAGUUGCUACGCAAGGGCACUCUAAUGAGACUGCCGGUGACAAACCGGAGGAAGGUGGGGACGACGUCAAGUCCUCAUGGCCCUUAUGGGUAGGGCUUCACACGUCAUACAAUGGUUGGUACAGAGGGUUGCAAACCCGUGAGGGGAAGCUAAUCCCAAAAAACCAUCGUAGUCCGGAUUGCAGUCUGCAACUCGACUGCAUGAAGUCGGAAUCGCUAGUAAUCGCGGAUC
RNAcentral lists this ribosomal RNA (428 nucleotides) under uncultured bacterium. RNAcentral's name for it is "bacterial SSU rRNA". It matches the Rfam family "Bacterial small subunit ribosomal RNA", at positions 917 to 1350 of the family's 1533-position model. The record is from RNAcentral.